AGGGCCGCAGGGCCACGAUGGUGUGCUAGGCAGUGGCAAACUCAGCUUUCACAGACUUGGGACCUGCAGGUGCAGAGCCACGGUGGAGAGGCCAGGGUAUCACAAACUGAUGGAUUUUGACAAGAAAGGAGGGAAAGGGGAGCUGGAAGAGGGCCGGAGGAUGUCCAAGACUGGUGGGGGCUGCAGUGGCCACAGCGUUCGGAGCUCGGGGACCAGCACGGGGGUCCUAAUGGUAGGACCCAACUUCCGAGUCGGCAAGAAGAUAGGCUGCGGCAACUUCGGGGAGCUCCGCUUAGGAAAGAAUCUCUAUACGAGUAUGUGGCUACCAAACUGGAGCCCAUCAAGUCCCGGCCCGCAGCUGCACCUGGAGUACCGAUACUACAAGCAGCUCAGCGCCACAGAGGGCAUCUCUCAGGUCUACUACUUGGGCCCUUGCGGGAAGUACAACGCCAUGGCGUUGGAGCUGCUGGUGCCCAGCCUAGAGGACCUGUUCGACCUGUGCGACCGUACCUUCACGAUGAAGACGGUGCUCAUGAUCACCAUCCAGCUGAUCACACGCAUGGAGUAUGUGCACACCAAGAGCCUCAUCUACCGGGACGUGAAGCCUGAAAACUUUCUAGUGGGGCGUCCGGGCACCAAGCGGCAGCAUGCUAUCCACAUCAUUGACUUCGGGCUGGGCAAGGAAUACAUUGACCCCGAGACCAAGAAGCACAUCUGGUAUCGGGAGCACAAGAGCCUCACGGGCACUGCACGCUACGUGAGCAUCAACACUCAUCUGGGCAAGGAGCAGAGCCGCCGCGACGACCUGGAGGCACUAGGCCGCAUGUUCAUGUACUUCCUUCGUGGCAGCCUACCCUGGCAGGGACUCAAGGCCGACACACUCAAGGAGCGGUACCAGAAGACUGAGGACACCAAGCGUGCCACGCCCAUCGAGGUGCUGUGUGAAAGCUUCCCAGAGGAGAUGGCCACCUACCUGCGAUAUGUGCUGCGCCUGGACUUCUUCGAGAAGCCGGACUAUGACUACCUUCGGAAGUUCUUCACUGACCUGUUUGACCAGAGCGGUUCCGUGUUCGAUUAUGAGUAUGAUUGGGCCGGAAAACCCUUGCCCACGCCUAUUGGCACGGUCCACUCCGACCUGCCCUCCCAGCCCCCACACUGGGACAAAGUACAGCCCCACAGCAAAAACCAGGCGCUGAACUCCACCAAUGGAGAGCUAAACGCGGACGACCCCACUGCAGGGCAUUCCUUUGCCCCCAUCACAGCCCCGGCAGAGGUUGAGGUGGCUGACGACACCAAGUGCUGCUGUUUCUUCAAGAGGAGGAAGAGAAAAUCACUACAGCGGCACAAGUGACCAGGCGCUUUUGGCGCAUGACUGUUCUCAAUGCUGCCCUCAGGCUAGCUUGUCCUUGAGGCCAUGGGCCACCCACAGGCCAGCCAGUGACAUGCCACAGCCCAAGUCAGACUGCAGGGCCGCCUGGCCUGGAUGUGGGUCCCUACCUUCACGUAAGACUUUGGCCGAAAUUUCUACACUUGUGUCUAGUCCUCCCCUCUGAGAGCAUUAACUAUUUAACAAGGAACAAAGGAAACCCAGAGGCCCGCUGCCCUCCCCGUCUGCCGAGUGAGUAGUGAGACUGGGCCAGGUGCCGCCACCGCCGCCCUUUAGUCUCAUAAGGUCCAGCUUGUCUCCCUUGAUCCAAAGGCCGUUUCCUCAAGGGGGGCAGGCCCAGCCCGGGAGGGGCAUCUGCUGAGCUGGCUGCCCAGGAGGGGGCUCUGGCGCUGCUGUGCGGUGAGGCCAGCUCUGGUCCAACCCCAGACCAAAGGGGAAGGCGGGGA
RNA transcript from Octodon degus (degu), 1833 nucleotides. It is a transcript of the gene named casein kinase I pseudogene, with no coding region annotated. The record is from RefSeq and is a predicted model, not a curated record. NCBI's taxonomy places the organism in Eukaryota, Metazoa, Chordata, Mammalia, Rodentia, Octodontidae. The transcript has a single exon.